RNAcentral lists this unclassified non-coding RNA (200 nucleotides) under Phragmocephala sp. RNAcentral describes it as "partial internal transcribed spacer 2". The record is from RNAcentral. Lineage: Eukaryota; Fungi; Ascomycota; Dothideomycetes; Pleosporales; Melanommataceae.
UUAAGUUCAGCGGGUAUCCCUACCUGAUCCGAGGCCAAAGUGAUAGAAUAACUUGCUGGGAGGAGGUCAGCUGGAGUCGCAACGCAAUGUGCUGCGCACGAAACCAACUUGCCGGCUGCCAAUAAAUUUAAGGCGAGUCCUUGCACAGAGGCAGGACAAACACCCAACACCAAGCAAAGAGCUUGAAGGUUUAAAUGACG